GCAUAUCAAUAAGCGGAGGAAAAGAAACCAACAGGGAUUGCCCUAGUAACGGCGAGCGAAGCGGCAACAGCUCAAAUUUGAAAUCUGGCUAUUUUGUAGUCCGAGUUGUAAUUUGUAGAGGAUGCUUUUGGUGAGGUGCCUUCCGAGUUCCCUGGAACGGGACGCCAGAGAGGGUGAGAGCCCCGUACGGUUGGAUACCAAACCUUUGUAUAGCUCCUUCGACGAGUCGAGUAGUUUGGGAAUGCUGCUCUAAAUGGGAGGUAUAUCUCUUCUAAAGCUAAAUAUAGGCUAGAGACCGAUAGCGCACAAGUAGAGUGAUCGAAAGAUGAAAAGCACUUUGAAAAGAGAGUUAAACAGCACGUGAAAUUGUUGAAAGGGAAGCGCCUAUGACCAGACUUGUUUCUUUCAGUUUUGUUAGUUUUCGGACUGAUUUACUCUGUUAGUACAGGCCAGCAUCAGUUUGUUGUCAGGGAGAAAGGCUUAGGGAAUGUGGCUCUUUCGGGAGUGUUAUAGCCCUUUGCAUAAUACCUUUCGGCAGACUGAGGACCGCGCUUCGGCAAGGAUGCUGGCGUAAUGGUCAUCAGCGACCCGUCUUGAAACACGGACCAAGGAGUCAACCUUAUGUGCGAGUGUUUGGGUGUAAAACCCCAGCGCGUAAUGAACGUGAACGUAGGUGAGAGCUUCGGCGCAUCAUCGACCGAUUCUGAUGUUCUCGGAUGGAUUUGAGUAAGAGCACACAGGGUUGGACCCGAAAGAAGGUGAACUAUGCUUGUAUAGGGUGAAGCCAGAGGAAACUCUGGUGGAGGCUCGCAGCGGUUCUGACGUGCAAAUCGAUCGUCAAAUAUGAGCAUGGGGGCGAAAGA
RNAcentral lists this ribosomal RNA (863 nucleotides) under Berkeleyomyces basicola. RNAcentral describes it as "partial large subunit ribosomal RNA". It matches the Rfam family "Eukaryotic large subunit ribosomal RNA", at positions 38 to 930 of the family's 3401-position model. Lineage: Eukaryota; Fungi; Ascomycota; Sordariomycetes; Microascales; Ceratocystidaceae. The record is from RNAcentral.